RNAcentral lists this ribosomal RNA (506 nucleotides) under uncultured bacterium. Its description in RNAcentral is "partial 16S ribosomal RNA". It matches the Rfam family "Bacterial small subunit ribosomal RNA", at positions 29 to 523 of the family's 1533-position model. The record is from RNAcentral.
AGUGAACGCUGGCGGUAGGCCUAACACAUGCAAGUCGAACGGCAGCACAGGAGAGCUUGCUCUCUGGGUGGCGAGUGGCGGACGGGUGAGGAAUACAUCGGAAUCUACUUUUUCGUGGGGGAUAACGUAGGGAAACUUACGCUAAUACCGCAUACGACCUACGGGUGAAAGCAGGGGAUCUUCGGACCUUGCGCGAUUGGAUGAGCCGAUGUCGGAUUAGCUAGUUGGCGGGGUAAAGGCCCACCAAGGCGACGAUCCGUAGCUGGUCUGAGAGAAUGAUCAGCCACACUGGAACUGAGACACGGUCCAGACUCCUACGCGAGGCAGCAGUGGGGAAUAUUGGACAAUGGGCGCAAGCCUGAUCCAGCCAUACCGCGUAGGUGAAGAAGGCCUUCGGGUUGUAAAGCCCUUUUGUUGGGAAAGAAAUCCAGCUGGUUAAUACCCGGUUGGGAUGACGGUACCCAAAGAAUAAGCACCGGCUAACUUCGUGCCAGCAGCCGCGGUAA